AUUGAACGCUGGCGGCAGGCCUAACACAUGCAAGUCGAGCGGAUGAAGGGAGCUUGCUCCUGGAUUCAGCGGCGGACGGGUGAGUAAUGCCUGGGAAUCUGCCUGGUAGUGGGGGAUAACGUCCGGAAACGGGCGCUAAUACCGCAUACGUCCUGAGGGAGAAAGUGGGGGAUCUUCGGACCUCACGCUAUCAGAUGAGCCUAGGUCGGAUUAGCUAGUUGGUGGGGUAAAGGCCUACCAAGGCGACGAUCCGUAACUGGUCUGAGAGGAUGAUCAGUCACACUGGAACUGAGACACGGUCCAGACGCCUACGGGAGGCAGCAGUGGGGAAUAUGGGACAAGGGGCGAAAGCCUGAUCCAGCCAGGCGGCGGGUGGGAAGAAGGUCUUCGGAUUGUAAAGCACUUUAAGUUGGGAGGAAGGGCAGUAAGUUAAUACCUUGCUGUUUUGACGUUACCAACAGAAUAAGCACCGGCUAACUUCGU
This 483-nucleotide ribosomal RNA is filed under the name uncultured bacterium. Its description in RNAcentral is "partial 16S ribosomal RNA". It matches the Rfam family "Bacterial small subunit ribosomal RNA", at positions 30 to 506 of the family's 1533-position model. The record is from RNAcentral.